Molecule: long non-coding RNA, 7172 nt
Filed under: Setaria viridis
Lineage: Eukaryota; Viridiplantae; Streptophyta; Magnoliopsida; Poales; Poaceae
Description: long non-coding RNA (SVIR_LNC011124)
Source: RNAcentral
GUACUAGAACACCACCUCCUGCUCAAACCGUAGAGCAAUCAAUCACCAAUGGCCCCCAAGCCUGCCCUCUUCCUUGCCCUCGGCCUCCUCUUCGCUGUUGCCGCCCAUGGCUGCACACCCUACUGCCCCGGUCCAGUCGUCCCUACGCCGCCGGUCGUGCCGACGCCGUCCCACGGCCACGGCGGGCGCUGCCCGAUCGACGCGCUGAAGCUGAGGGUGUGCGCUAACGUUCUGGGCCUCGUCAAGGUCGGCCUACCCCAAUACGACCAGUGCUGCCCCCUGCUGCAGGGGCUCGUCGACCUCGACGCCGCCGUCUGCCUCUGCACCGCGAUUAAGGCCGAUGUCCUCGGCAUCCACCUCAACUUGCCCGUCAGCCUCAACCUCAUCCUCAACAAGUGCGGCAAGAUUUGCCCGGCCGACUUCACCUGCCCUCAGUAAGAUGGAGAGCUGAUGUAGCAGAAGUACCCAUCCACGGAACAUACUCUCGUACUCACGCGAUUCCAACUUUUACUUCAUUGCUUUGCAAUGGCGAGAUGUUGCAUGUGAUCGAACAAGUUUGUUGUAAUUCUUUUGCUGUAUGUUUGCAUGGUUCGUAUACCGUUUUAAAUUGCCAAUAAGAAAUGUUCAUCUUUUUAGAGAAAGAGGAAAGAAUUGUUCAUGAUCAGUCAGUAUGUAAGAACUACAUAUGAUCCGAACUUCUGUGACAGUGAUUUUCGGAGGUUUAUGUUUGAUUUUGUUCUGGAUUUUUUUUUUGCAAACUGAGUGGGACGCACCAGAUUCAAGUACAUGUCGUCUACGACAUGAUAUGUGCUCCCACCCUACCGGAAAAAAAUCUACGUAACCCCCCAAGGUAGAUGGUGGCUCACUUCACCCCUAACCUGCAAAACCAGGUUUUUUACACCAUAAAUUAGCGAAAACCAUUUAUAUAACCUCCUAAGGUGGUUUUGUAGCCCGGUUUUGCUGAUUUGGCAUACCACGUUGGAUGGAAGUGACACCUUAUCAUUUGGGUCCACUUAUCAGUUUUUUUUAUUCAUCCACACCUCUCUAGCUCUCUUCCCCAUUCUACAUAUCCGUUCGCAACGCGAGAAAGCCUGGCCAUGGCCGACGGAGGCCUGCCGCGCUGCACAGGGAUGGGGGAUGGGAUGGCGUGGCGCUUCCAUUUGUAGGCUCGUCGGUGCUUAUUGAGCCAGCGGCGGAGGGAAGGGCAGCAGCAGGAGGAGCGCUCGCGUCAUCAUACCUCGAUUUGCCAUGGAUUAUCUCUACUCUUUAGCUUUCAGGCUGUGCUUCGAUGAAUUUUGCUGGCCCUAGCCACCGGCUACCAUGGUUGGUAUCUGAUUUGAGCUAAGAAAGAAGAAACCACCAUGGCAUUAGUCACGUUGAUGACCCACUCUAGUCUCCUCCCAUGAAACGCUAAUCCUAGCAACUAGCAAGCGGCAUGCGCAGGUAGUUGGCGUGAUGCUCGUUGCUCGAACUUGCAGCGCGGAGGUGGAUGCACGCCAAGGAGCCAAGGAGCAAGAGAGGAGGCGACGGGCGCCGCGCGGCAGCCGAGCAGCUGUGCAGGUCCAGUGGCGGGCAGAGCAAACGGUGCUCAUCGCACCACUCAGCAUGGCAAGGAGGAGCCGUGCCGCAAGCCAGCUAUAUGGAUGGCGGCGGUGCACUGCAUGGGGGCGGCGCUGGGUGCCUCGGACCGGCCGGUGCGGUACCAGAUGAUCGGUGCGAGACUCCGUGGAGGCGCAUAAAUGGAGUGGUACAGUAUGUCGUCGCUGGCGAUAAUGAGGUGGUCACAGCUCGUUGGGGACGACGCAAGCGACCAGGGUGAUGAGCUUGUGGAAGCGGAGGAACACGAGGGACCAGCGGGACAGCGGCCGAUCAAGCGGGACCCACGUCUCCGGGUCCAUGUCAGCAAUUUGGUCCACUUAGCAUGCCAACAUGGCUAAACCACUCUACAAAACCACUAUAGGGGGUAAUUUAAAUGGUUUUGUAAAGGUGAGGGGUUAAAAACCCGGUUUCAUACCUUAGCAUGCCAACAUGGCUAAACCACUCUACAAAACCACUAUAGGGGGUAAUUUAAAUGGUUUUGUAAAGGUGAGGGGGUUAAAAACCCGGUUUCAUAGUUGAGGGGGUGAUGUAGUCGACCAUUGAUAUGUAGACUUUUUCUAAAAAAACAAUAAGAUUGGACGGUGCCUACCGCUGUGGUUAAGACUUAGGUCCUGUUUGGCACGGCUCCACUCCUAAACUCCAGCAACUCCAUCAAAAAAUUCAGCCAAACACCCCAACUCCAAAACUCCAUGGAGUUGCCAACUCCAUGGAGCUGUAGUGCAAAUGGAGGUGGAGUUCUGGAGCACCUCUUUUGCUACUCCAGAAACCUCUCUUUGAACCUCCUCGUGGAGUUGGUGGGUAAUUACCCACCAAUACCACUGGUUACACAAAAAAACGUUUCAUUCUAUUCUCCUGAGCCCCACUCACCGCCAGAGCCCCGCCCGUCGCCGCCCCCGUGGCCGGCCGGCCCCGCCGCCCGUCGCCACCCCGCCGCCCGGCGACACCCGUCGCCACCCCCGUGGCCGGCCGACCCCGCCGCCCGUCGUUGCCCGUCGCCGCUCGCCGUGCCCGUCGCCCGUCGCCGCCCGCCGCCCGUCUAUUCUCCUGAGCCCCACUCGCCGCCAGAGCCCCGCCCGUCGCCGCCCCUUGCCGCCCCGUUGCCCGUCACCGCCCGUCGCCGCCCACCGCGCCCGUCGCCGCCCCAGUCGCCGCCCACCCCGCCGCCCGUGGAGGGUCUCCCGUGUGCGGCACAGUGCAGUGAAAAAAGGGGAAGAAGAAGAUAGGAUAGAGAGGAUGACAAGUGGAGCCUUAAUUGGGGGGCAACAAUGGCAAUCCACACUGAAAUCGAUAUUUUUUGGAGCUGAGAGCACCCAUCUAGCCAAACAUCCCAUUUUUGUUUUGAAGUUUUGGAGCGGAGCUGGCUCCAUGUGGAGUUCUGGAGUGGAGCAGCUCCACCUGGAGUUGGAACCAUGCCAAACAGGGUCUUAAUAGGGCGAACAUGCAUGCAUAUAUGACGACAAGCUGAUUGUUUGUCUAGUCUUGAGCUUCCCUUGCUGGCUUGCUCUAAUUUCACGUUUGAGUAAAAUGCACCACAUGUACCUUAACUUGUUCCGCUGUGAUGCAUUUCGGGUCCCUAAAGGGGUCCAUCUAGGUCCAAAACGCGCCACGUGAGCUUCGGACGCGGAUGUGGCAUGACAUCGUGGCGCCACGCUGACAAAUAUAUGAAAAGAACUCCUAAUUCCUGCAUCUCCUCUGCUCUCGGUUCUUCCAUGGCGCUCGGCGUCUGCAGCCGCGCGGCGGCCGGCAGGCCGACAUGGCUCGGGGCGCCUCUUGACUCAUGAGUGACAGGAAAGGUGGCUUCCGCAGUUGUGUACCUCUCUGCUGAGGCCCGCGCCGGCGAGCAAACGGGCGGACAGCGUGGGUAGGCGGCGACGUCGGCGAGCUGCGGCAGCGGGCGAGCAACACUGCUGGGAUGCGUGGCUGACGAGCCAUGUGGGCGGGCGAGCGAUGACGGCAGGUGAGUGGACGGCGCCGGCGGGCGAGCAACACGGCCGGGAUGCGUGGAAGUGGCGCGGGCGGGCAAGCAGCGCAGGAGGCGAGCUACAAUGGCGGGCGAGCAAGUGAACAAGGCCGGGAUGUGCGGCAGCAGCGUGGGCGGGAGAGCGCCGCGGCCGGGAUGAGCGGCCAGUGAGCCGUGCAGACGGGCGAGCGGCGCGGGCGAGCCGCGAGAUGCGACACGGGCGAGCGACAGGACCGGGGGGGCGCGGGUGCGCGAGCGGCGCAGGCGACGAGAUGCGACGACUGUCGAGCGAUGCGACCGGGAGGCGCGGUCGGCGAGCCGCACGGAUGGGCGAGCGGUGCAGGGGGCGAGAUGGGACGACGGGCGAGCGACGUGACCGGGAGGCGCGGUCGGUGAGCCGCGCGGGUUGGCGAAUGGCGCAGACGGCAAAACCGACGACGGGCGAGCGGACGGAAUUGCCGUCGAACUGCGAGGGGGCAAAUGAGGCGGCGGGCGAGCUACGAUGACGCGGCUGACGAGCGGAGUGGACGGGAUGUGCGGAAGACGAUACUGCUGUGCUCAAGGUCGUCGCCGGCCUUGUCCAAGUCGCAAACAUCAAUUAUUCCAUGGGAUUGAAGCUUUCUUGCAUCCACCGAGCUCGUCGUCAUGCCUGUUCCUGAGGAGAUGGUUUACAGAGCGGCGAGGAUGUCUUCUUUAAUGAGAGGGCAGAGGAGGAUAACGAGAGGACCUGGACUGAACGAUGAUAGGAAUUAGGGAUUGUUUUGCAUAUAUUUGUCAGCAUGGUGCCAUGGUGGCAUGCCACAUCCGCGUCCGAAGCGCAUUUGGAUUUGGAUGGACCUCUUUAUAGAGUUUAGGGACUUAAAAAUGUAUUUUAAAAAUAUAUUUUAGAAGUUUAGGAACCUGGUUGGCACAGCAGGACAGCAUGACAAGUUGAGGUACCUGUGAUGCAGCAUUUUACUCUUGUUCAAAUCAUGAGUUUCUUAUAUUGUUCGUCUGACCGUGGAGACUCUAAUCCAAGUGCUAACUUUCAUAAUUCCAUUCCAAACAUGUUACACAAGUCAAAGCACUAACACCAAGAUGUACUACAAUUUAAAAGUGAGUGCCAAGUCGGAGCUCACCCCCGCCUCUUCACUGACCAACCAGGGGUCUACCGUCACCCUUGCCGCCCCCGCCUUCUCGAUCGCUACCCAUUGCUCGCUACCUUUCCGUCCGGAACUUCCUCUAGGUCCGUCAACACAGGUACCUCCAAGCCCGAACCCUAAAGAGUUCAAUGGUGAACUCGUCAGAUUUGAAGAAGGGGAAAGUUGGGAGAGAGAAAGAUUCAGGUAUGGGGAGAUGGAAAAUGCUUGGGUGUGAUAUAGAUUUUCUCUUCAGGAAUAUUUUUUUUGCAUUGUGUUGUGUUGUAUUUUUUAUUUGUUUAAAAGUGUAUGAAUGGGCAGCAUUCCAUAAUCUACAACUCAUAAGUCAGGUUAGACUUGGAGUAGGCCUUGGGUAUUCAUAAUUCAUACUCAAAUUCACACCCACCUCAAAUUUGAAGGGUAUGGGUAGAAAAUUAUAUACCAUUAGAAAUGGGGAGAGUAGGGUAUGGGAAUGGUACAAUUUAUUCAGAAUAUAUAUAGUAUCUAGUACAAAAUUAAUUAUCCAUUGGAUAUGGGUGAGAACGGGGAGGGUGAAAAUUGGAUAAUAUAUAUUUGGAUUUGGGUACGAAUUGUCCAUACCCUCCCAAUGGUAGGCCUAACUUGGAGGGAUGGGUGGUAGCUGUGCUGUGCGCAAUAGUGGCUUCCAGAAAAAGAGUUGCGGUCUAGCACCUUUGAUUAGCAAGGUGGUAGUGGGCAGUCGCGGAUCUAGCGUUGAAGGAUUGUUGUUUGGUCAUGGAGGAGGUGGUGGGAGGGGGCCUCUACAAAAACGAUUUCACAUACGUCACGUCCUUUUUAUAGCAGUAGUCGAUCAGUAACGGUGAUGAUAGCCAUGGAGCUAGUACGCUAGGGCACCUAACCUGUGGACUGCGCAGUGAGAACAAGGGAGAUGAUACAUAAUGUUGCUCGAGGUCGGAGACCAUUAAUUUUUGAGUCGUUGAUGAUGUCUAUCUAGCUAGGGGUGGCUGAUCAGCUAGAUAGAUCAGCUAGUUAAGGUUUGGCUCGUUAUGGCUCAUUUUCAUUUGAUAAUGAGCCAGCUCGGCUUGGCUUGUUACAAUUGACAAGCUAAAAAUCGAGUUUGCCUCGGUUCGUUCGAAAGGUUCAAGCUGGUUUGUUUGGCUUUAGCUCACGAGCCAAGCAUCAUUCAACAUUAAAGUCAAGAUAAAUAUACUAUUAACCAAAAUAAAAAUUUAAAUGUGUCAAUAAUAUUUUAUUCUAAAAGUUUAGCUUAGGAUAUAUUUUAAAAAUAAAUAACAUUAAUCAAUAAAUUGGGAUAAUAUAGGUGUUUGGAAACUCAAAGUAAACUUAAUUAGCACUAUAUUUGACUUACAUGUUGAAUAACAAAUUUAUUUUAACCAAAUAAUAGUAAUACAAUUGUAUUCAUAAAGAAAAAGUUUGGUGUUAUCAUCUUUGUCGAGCUUAAUAUAAGCCAAUUGAACACCACACGAGAGGUUUAGAACCGGGAGAGGUUUAGAACCGGCUCAUUAAGAAAACGAGUUGAAACUGAGCCUUAGCUCGACUUGUUUAAAGGUCAAGCCGACCUAUGAACGAGUCGAGUCGGCUCCCGAACCUCGAACUUUUCAGCUAGUCUUAUGUCCAUCCUGGCUAGUUGUUUACGCGAGCACAAUGAUUAUCUCUCGGAGCAAAAUCGACCCAACUGUACUAUCAUAUUUCUACAUAAACAUAUCUAUCGAUGAUAUAGGAGCUAAGACCCAUCAAUAACUAGCUCACUGCGUAAAACUAGCAUGAUUGCUGAUCAACUUGCUUCUGCAUUUUCACAUGCCAAAAUGUUGUCCUGUCUCGCCCUCAUAACUGGCGCAUCAAUGGACAACCAAGCAACGUUCAACCCCAUCGAAUCACACACAUGCAUUGCUGCAUUCAUGCACGCAUAACGCCAAGCACGAUGGCAUCUUUCUCCCGUGAUCGAUCAGCUAUAAAAAGCCAUGCCAAACUCCUUGAGAAAACCAUCCCAAAAACACAUACGAGCACGCAGUAGCACAAGGUCACCACUAUCUUACUCACGAUCAGACGACUGCACUGAUCACCAAUGGCUGCCAAGCUCGCCCUCUUCCUGGCCCUGAGCCUCCUCUUCGCCGCCGCCGCGCACGGCUGCGCACCCUACUGCCCCGGCCCAGUCGUCCCGACGCCGUCCCACGGCCACGGCGGGCGCUGCCCGAUCGACGCGCUGAAGCUAAGGGUGUGCGCCAACGUGCUGGGCCUCGUCAAGGUCGGCCUGCCCCAGUACGACCAGUGCUGCCCCCUGCUGCAGGGGCUCGUCGACCUCGACGCCGCCGUCUGCCUCUGCACUGCGAUCAAGGCCGAUGUCCUCGGCAUCCACCUCAACGUGCCCGUCAGCCUCAACCUCAUCCUCAACAAGUGCGGCAAGAUCUGCCCGGCCGACUUCACUUGCCCUCCGUAAGAUGGGAGCUGAUGAAAUGAGCUAAACCCCAUCAUCCAAGGAACUAGGCUUGGGUCCU